This 728-nucleotide long non-coding RNA is filed under the name Anas platyrhynchos platyrhynchos (common mallard). Its description in RNAcentral is "lncRNA (ENSAPLG00000025487.1)". Lineage: Eukaryota; Metazoa; Chordata; Aves; Anseriformes; Anatidae. The record is from RNAcentral.
CUGGUUCCGGGCAGUGCCAGGGGGGACAGCCCUGCCGCUGAGCAGCCAGGCCGAGCUGACGUGGGACAGCCUGCGGCCUUCCGACGCGGGGACAUACUACUGCGAGGCAGAGAACAGAGUCGGGGCAGGGGUGGUGCAGCGGAGCGAUGCCGUGGAGCUGGUGGUGAGAGGUGAGUCCCCAGCCUGUAGCUCCUCACCUCAGCGGCAGCAACCAGUGAGGCAAAUGGUUCCCGUUCGCCCAGGGAUCAGGCACGUAGCACCGAAUGUGAAUCGUGUCUGGAUCGCUGCUCAGGAGGGGAGCCCGGCUCUGCCCUUGGCACAUCUCGCUUUUGCCUGGCUUGGAACCCAGGCAGGGCGUGCAGCAAACCGUCUGAUGAGCGGUCUGUCCCACAGGGUCCCCAGUCACACAGCCACCCACGCCUGGGACCAGCCGGCACACAGGACCCCCACUCCCCUCAGAAGGCAGCGAAGCUCCCCAUGCGCUGGGAGAUCUGUCCACAGCAACGCUGUCCGCCAGGAAUGAUGUCGUUUCAGAGAGGGCUCCCGCUGCCACAGGUGAGCAAGCCCCUUGGUGAAACACGCACGAUUUGCACGGGGAGGGGCAGGCUGGCAAACACUCCGCAGACCAGACACUGAAACCGACUGCCCCAUUUUGCAUUUUGCAUUGCUGCUGGGAGCAAACCCCGGGCCUGUCAAACGCAGGCAGGAGCUGCCCUCUCGGCCGCCCA